RNAcentral lists this ribosomal RNA (253 nucleotides) under uncultured bacterium. Its description in RNAcentral is "partial 16S ribosomal RNA". It matches the Rfam family "Bacterial small subunit ribosomal RNA", at positions 524 to 776 of the family's 1533-position model. The record is from RNAcentral.
UACGGAGGGUGCACGCGUUAUUCGGAAUUAUUGGGCGUAAAGGGCGCGUAGGCGGUUUGAUAAGUCACGUAUGAAAUCGCGGGGCUCAACCCCGGAAGUGCACGUGAUACUAUUGAACUUGAGUAUGGGAGAGGGAAGUGGAAUUCCUGGUGUAGCGGUGAAAUGCGUAGAUAUCAGGAGGAACACCGGUGGCGAAGGCGACUUCCUGGACCAGUACUGACGCUGAGGAGCGAAGGCGUGGGGAGCAAACAGG